This 254-nucleotide ribosomal RNA is filed under the name uncultured bacterium. Its description in RNAcentral is "partial 16S ribosomal RNA". It matches the Rfam family "Bacterial small subunit ribosomal RNA", at positions 524 to 776 of the family's 1533-position model. The record is from RNAcentral.
UACGUAGGGGCCUAGCGUUGUCCGGAAUUAUUGGGCGUAAAGAGCUCGUAGGCGGUGUGUCACGUCGUUCGUGAAAACCUGCAGCUUAACUGUGGGCGUGCGGUCGAUACGGGCAUCACUGGAGUUCGGCAGGGGAGACUGGAAUUCCCGGUGUAGCGGUGAAAUGCGCAGAUAUCGGGAGGAACACCGGUGGCGAAGGCGGUUCUCUGGGCCUGUACUGACGCUGAGGAGCGAAAGCGUGGGGAGCGAACAGG